CCCACGGCUUCCCUGUUCUGCCCACUUAGUGAUGGGAGGAUGGCGCCUGGCCCAGGGCCAAGUGCCCAGACAUAGGACGGGCAGUGAGGGCUGCGCCUGCUAAUGUGGCUUUGUCCUUGACUCCUGUGUCCUGGCUGCAAGCCCAGGAAACUCGAGUGACAGAGCACUCCCAAGGUCAAGGUCAGCUCUCAUGAGGGCACAGAUGCCCUGGGAAGAGGAAGGUCUGCAGGGCUGGGAUCAGCUGCCCUGGCCACACCAUCCUGUGGCAUCUUAAGGUGGCAGUGAGUGGGCUAGGCCUGCAGGUCUCCAAACGCAGCUGAAGGGACACGGAGUCUGGGUCUGCGGGGGAUGGAGCUGAGCGCUGGGAUUUGGUGACCUGCAUUUCAACCCCGAUUUCUUCAUAGAGCACCUUCUCGCCACUGGAGACCCAGCACUCUGGGGCCCUGGGUGCCACCUUGGGACAGAAGGCAUUUCGGAUGGUUCCUGGUCCUGCUGGCUUCCUGCCUGGACUUCCACCACAUCGUGUGGUGGGGGUGGGGCGCCAGCCUCGGGCAAGCUCCAGGAAUGGCUCUGAGCCGCCCCCCACCCAUAUGCCUCAGGCUGCCUAGUCAUGGUGACAAUGACAACCAGAGAAGCUCAAGUGCAGCUAAAGAACAGGGUGGGAGGCCUCGCUGGCCGGGAGCCCAGAGGGUGUGGGAAGCUCCCAGCUCUGCCCUCGCCUGAGCGGCCUCUCCCUGAAGACAGGCGCCCUUCGCAAGCCACCUCCGCAGCCGGGGCGGAGGCCAGCGCAGCUCAUCCCCGCCCAGGUCCAGGUCACAGUGAGCAGGGGCAGGCACCAGGCUCCUCCUGCCACGCGGCUCCCCCGCCUGUCUUCCUGAGGUCCCCACUAGUUCACGGACCCCGUCUGCCUGUCAGCUCAGGCGACUUCCCUGGUCUGGCAGGAGGGAUUUUUACUACAGGCUGAGACACUUAA
This 973-nucleotide long non-coding RNA is filed under the name Marmota monax (woodchuck). Lineage: Eukaryota; Metazoa; Chordata; Mammalia; Rodentia; Sciuridae. The record is from RNAcentral.